GUCCCCGUAGCGCAAUGGAUAGCGUGCCGGCCUCCGAAGCCGUCGGUGUGGGUUCGAAUCCCACCGGGGACACC
RNAcentral lists this transfer RNA (74 nucleotides) under bioreactor metagenome. Its description in RNAcentral is "tRNA-Arg". It matches the Rfam family "tRNA". Rfam says of the family: Transfer RNA (tRNA) molecules are approximately 80 nucleotides in length. Their secondary structure includes four short double-helical elements and three loops (D, anti-codon, and T loops). The record is from RNAcentral.